This 254-nucleotide ribosomal RNA is filed under the name uncultured bacterium. RNAcentral's name for it is "partial 16S ribosomal RNA". It matches the Rfam family "Bacterial small subunit ribosomal RNA", at positions 524 to 776 of the family's 1533-position model. The record is from RNAcentral.
UACGUAGGGGGCAAGCGUUGUCCGGAUUUACUGGGCGUAAAGGGCGCGUAGGCGGCCACCGCAAGUCGACUGUGAAAUCUCCGGGCUUAACCCGGAAAGGUCAGCCGAUACUGCGGGGCUAGAGUGCAGAAGGGGCAACUGGAAUUCUCGGUGUAGCGGUGAAAUGCGUAGAUAUCGAGAGGAACACCUGCGGCGAAGGCGGGUUGCUGGGCUGACACUGACGCUGAUGCGCGAAAGCUAGGGGAGCAAACAGG